UCAAGAAGAAGGAGCUACUCCCCACCACCAGCACCCAAAGCUGGUAUUCUAAUUAAACUACUUCUUGAGUACAUAAAUUUACAUAGUACAACAGUACAUUUAUGUAUAUCGUACAUUAAACUAUUUUCCCCAAGCAUAUAAGCUAGUACAUUAAAUCAAUGGUUCAGGUCAUAAAAUAAUCAUCAACAUAAAUCAAUAUAUAUACCAUGAAUAUUAUCUUAAACACAUUAAACUAAUGUUAUAAGGACAUAUCUGUGUUAUCUGACAUACACCAUACAGUCAUAAACUCUUCUCUUCCAUAUGACUAUCCCCUUCCCCAUUUGGUCUAUUAAUCUACCAUCCUCCGUGAAACCAACAACCCGCCCACCAAUGCCCCUCUUCUCGCUCCGGGCCCAUUAAACUUGGGGGUAGCUAAACUGAAACUUUAUCAGACAUCUGGUUCUUACUUCAGGGCCAUCAAAUGCGUUAUCGCCCAUACGUUCCCCUUAAAUAAGACAUCUCGAUGGUAUCGGGUCUAAUCAGCCCAUGACCAACAUAACUGUGGUGUCAUGCAUUUGGUAUCUUUUUAUUUUGGCCUACUUUCAUCAACAUAGCCGUCAAGGCAUGAAAGGACAGCACACAGUCUAGACGCACCUACGGUGAAGAAUCAUUAGUCCGCAAAACCCAAUCACCUAAGGCUAAUUAUUCAUGCUUGUUAGACAUAAAUGCUACUCAAUACCAAAUUUUAACUCUCCAAACCCCCCACCCCCUCCUCUUAAUGCCAAACCCCAAAAACACUAAGAACUUGAAAGACAUAUAAUAUUAACUAUCAAACCCUAUGUCCUGAUCAAUUCUAGUAGUUCCCAAAAUAUGACUUAUAUUUUAGUACUUGUAAAAAUUUUACAAAAUCAUGUUCCGUGAACCAAAACUCUAAUCAUACUCUAUUACGCAAUAAACAUU
RNAcentral lists this long non-coding RNA (939 nucleotides) under Mus musculus (house mouse). Its description in RNAcentral is "long non-coding RNA chrM:15355-16294". Lineage: Eukaryota; Metazoa; Chordata; Mammalia; Rodentia; Muridae. The record is from RNAcentral.